GUUCUUCCCCUGGACCUUCUCUGCGAGAUUCUGCAGUGCCUCCCCACCGAGCCGCUGUACCGCUUCCGCGCCGUCUGCAGGUCAUGGCGGCGCCUACUGUGCCACCCGGACUUCAUCGCCGCCGCCCACAAUCCUGGCCGCAUGCUUCUCGCCAUGGGAUUGUCCAGAAGCUACUCCUCGAUCUACGAGGCCGUCAACAUCCUCGACAUGGAGUCCGACGACGCCGUCAUGCCGUUCAGCUACAAGCUGCGUCCGUACGGCGAGACGCCCGCCAUGAGUCAUGACCGCGUGGUCUACGUUGUUGUCAGCCACGACGAUCAACUUUACCUUCUCGACCUCUCCAACGGCUUUGCCUCCCUUUUGCCUGACCCUGCACUACAUAAAGACUACGAAUGCUACUCGUUCACCGUUGGGGCCGUAACCUCCACUGGAGAGCACAAGGUGUUCUCCAUCCACACCUCACUGUGCCGCCACGAGCCGCAGGUCUGCAAGAUCCUCACCAUGACUGGCGGCGGCUGGAGGGAUACAGGUAACCCUCCACUAAAGGCGGUAUCAGGCUGGGGCGGCGUCCCUACCAUCAAUGGAGUUGCAUACUUUGAACCUAGUCGGGACUGGUACUCGGCGUCCAAGGACCUAAACACACAGCUGGUCAUGGCGUUCGACCUCGACAGCGAAACAUGGCGGUCGGAAGCCUUCCAAGGCCCCGCAAACCGCCCGGGCGCCAGCUUGGUUGAGAUGAACGGCCACCUGGUCGCAAGCUAUGUCGACCACGACCGGCAAUUAGUUGAGUUAUGGUUCCUGGUGGACCCAGACCUAUCUCUAUGGUCCAGGAGAUACACCAUCACCAUGCCUUGCCACCAAAAUCCCGGGCACAGGGAGUGGUUGAUGAAGCCAUUGGCGAUUCUCGAUGAUGGGAGGAUCGUGUUGUGGAUGCGGGUACACUUGCCGGGGUUCGACCCCGGGGAUGCGGUGCGACGGAUCUAUGACCCAAGAACCAAGACAUUUGGGGCCAGGAAAAGGGUGCCGGUAUGCAGCAGAAUAAGUGCUUUUGCGUGGAACUUGUUGCAUUCA
Molecule: ribosomal RNA, 1071 nt
Filed under: Triticum aestivum (bread wheat)
Lineage: Eukaryota; Viridiplantae; Streptophyta; Magnoliopsida; Poales; Poaceae
Description: partial small subunit ribosomal RNA
Source: RNAcentral